AACGAACGCUGGCGGCAUGCCUAACACAUGCAAGUCGAACGAGACCUUCGGGUCUAGUGGCGCACGUGUGCGUAACGCGUGGGAACCUGCCCUUAGGUUCGGAAUAACUCCCCUAAAGGGGUGCUAAUACCGGAUAAUGUCUUCGGACCAAAGAUUUAUCGCCUUUGGAUGGGCCCGCGUUGGAUUAGCUAGUUGGUAGGGUAAAAGCCUACCAAGGCGACGAUCCAUAGCUGGUCUGAGAGGAUGAUCAGCCACACUGGGACUGAGACACGGCCCAGACUCCUACGGGAGGCAGCAGUGGGGAAUAUUGGACAAUGGGGGAAAGUCUGAUCAAGCAAUGCCGCGUGAGUGAUGAAGGCGUUAGGGUUGUAAAGCUCUUUUACCCGGGAUGAUAAUGACAGUACCGGGAGAAUAAGCACCGGCUAACUACGUG
RNAcentral lists this ribosomal RNA (433 nucleotides) under uncultured bacterium. RNAcentral describes it as "partial 16S ribosomal RNA". It matches the Rfam family "Bacterial small subunit ribosomal RNA", at positions 29 to 507 of the family's 1533-position model. The record is from RNAcentral.